Molecule: ribosomal RNA, 437 nt
Filed under: uncultured bacterium
Lineage: Bacteria
Description: partial 16S ribosomal RNA
Rfam family: Bacterial small subunit ribosomal RNA
Source: RNAcentral
AGCGAACGCUGGCGGCAUGCUUAACACAUGCAAGUCGCGCGGGUGGUUUCGGCCAUCCGCGGCGGACGGGUGAGUAUCGCGUAGGAAUGUAUCCCGAGGUGGGGGACAACCCUGGGAAACUGGUGCUAAUACCGCAUGGGGCCUGUGGGUCAAAGCCUUAGGGCGCCUUGGGAGCAGCCUGCGUCCGAUUAGGUAGGGGGUGGGGUAAUGGCCUGCCAAGCCUGCGAUCGGUAGCUGGUCUGAGAGGACGAUCAGCCACACUGGGACUGAGACACGGCCCAGACUCGUACGGGAGGCAGCAGUGGGGAAUAUUGGACAAUGGGCGCAAGCCUGAUCCAGCAAUGCCGCGUGGGUGAAGAAGGUCUUCGGAUUGUAAAGCCCUUUCGGCGGGGACGAUGAUGACGGUACCCGCAGAAGAAGCCCCGGCUAACUUCGUG